Long non-coding RNA from Myotis myotis, 4083 nucleotides. RefSeq lists it as uncharacterized. NCBI's taxonomy places the organism in Eukaryota, Metazoa, Chordata, Mammalia, Chiroptera, Vespertilionidae. The transcript is spliced from 2 exons. The record is from RefSeq and is a predicted model, not a curated record.
GGGAGGUUUUGUACUCUGCUCUUCCAGUGACAACUUUGGUCUAACACACAUGGUGUAACUCAAGCACAAGAUGGCUCUGUGAGCAGCAUUCCCUCUUCUGCACAGCAGCAAAGAUAUAAGUGACGAAACUGCAGGCUGCCCUCCCACUGAAGGAAACAGGAGACUUUAUCAUGUGUGUAAAGAACUGAGAAAGGGUUCAAAAAAAAGAAUCUGCUUUAUAUACUUACAUUUCUUUUCCUUUUUAAUCAAGAAUCAGUACAUAGCAACCUCAAGAUGCCUAUACACUGACUUUGUGUGCUCUGACCCCAACCCAAACCUGCAGAUGGUCUCUGUAGUAAGUACUGCGAUGGAGUUUAAACACAGAAAAAAGGAUCUUCACAGAAAACUCAAAUCUGCUGGUUAUUGAGGAAUUAAAUAUUUAUCUGCUGGUCCCUGUGGAUGUUCCAGAACAGCGUGCGAGAAGUUUUAUCCGACCUCCAACAGGUCUGUCUCUGCCCAUUUCAGUGACCCUGGCACAGGCAGCCUGACUGAGGAAUGGCUCCAGGGCAAGGGCGAAGAGAAGAUUGAGGCAUUUAAACUUGCUGACUGCUGCAAAAAUCUUGACUCCUUCACUUCAGUGUAAUCAACCAUUACCUGGUUAGCUUGCCCUUGGUGGGCACCUGCCCACCCCUGCACUGUGCUAUAACAGUUUUCUCACUCAGAUUUGUGUUUACAAUUCACUUAUCCUUCAUCAGAGGAUAUAAUCUUGAAUUCCCUUUAUAACUUUCCACCAAGAUGGGUCUGUUGGCAACACCUCUGGCUCCAGCCACUAGUACACACCACUCUCACAUAUCCUAACAGCUGGAUAGGAUGUCUUUCUGAGUUAACAAAACCUGUUUUUUGAGGAACAAGAAAUACUCACUUGCCAUUUAACCAUCACUAACUCCCAGAACAGACGCCUACUAGCUUCUUUGCAAUAGCCACUCCUUUGAAAUCAUUCUCAAGUUCACUUUCUUCAUCUCAUUGAACCUUGCCUUCCCCUCAGUUGGACCCUCUCCUUUGAUUCGAGGAACUGCCUUUAAUCAUUUACUUUACGCUACAAGCUGAUCAAAUAACUUUUCCACAUUCAGUUUUCUCAGCCCUGAGGACGUCCGUAUGUGGAACCCAGCCACCUACAGCAUUUCCUUCUUUCCCUCCUUUAAAACAAAACAACCUAACCACCCCAGUCUGUCUUCCCACGUUGUCUUUUUGUGGGCUGUGUACUAGAGAUCAGUUUCUCGUUAAGAUGUUUUCAUUUAGGAUAGAAUGUUCAAUCUUAUGCUUACUUCCCAAGUCUGGACAAUUAAAAGCAUUCCCCACCUACAUCUACCCUACAUUCUAGAAUAUUCUCAACCACAAGGACACAACAUAAGCCAUGACUGUGCAUGACUCAUAUGUAAGAUAAUAGCAAGUGCUCUGCAACCAACAAAGUGUCAAUGUUUGCAACUGGACCCAAGGAUAGCCCUAUACUAGCAAUACCAUUACCACGGCUAGGCAUUCCUGUAUGCUCCCAUCCAAGAGGGAGAGAAAGAGGUGGAGUCACAGGAGCCAUAUACAGCACUGCUAUGACCUCCAGCCCGGGUCAUUUAUGCCAGAGCCCUAGCCAGACCACAGCUACGGACAUCUUUAAUGGUUACACAUUAUUACAGAUAUUUAAUCUGGAUAUAUCCAUGGGACUGUGGCUAAAAAAAGGUUCACAGCCUCUGGCCCUUCAUUAAAAAGUACGUGGUAACACCUGUUUGAUCUUCAAAGAAUUAAGAAGGCUAAAAUUUACUGUAUAAUACUAAGUAUAAUGGAAAAUACUGGACAGAUAACACAUUUUAGAUUGGAAAUUUAUUCAGGAUAGGUAGGGCAUGCUGUAUUGUCUGGGCACUAUUACAUGCUUUUUUAAAAUGAUUUUUUAAUUGUGUUAAUCAGCAUUGUUGGAGGACUCUUUUUAAAAAAAUUUUUUUAAUUGAUUUUUUAGAGAAAGGAAGGGAGAGGGAGAGAAACAUGGAUGUGAGAGCAUCCAUGUACACCCUCUAUCAGGGACCCACCACCUGCUCAUGUGCCCUGACUGGGAACCAAACCGGCAACCUUUCAGUGCACAGGAUGAUGCCCAACCAACUGGGCCACACCAGCCACUGGCCAGGGCUAUAUGCUUUAUUUUCAUUUAUUAAAUUGUGAUAACCCAGCUAGAGAAGUUUCAUAAAACCACUUCAAUCUAAAUAAAAUCCUUCGGUAAAUUUUUUUCCUGACCAUUCAACUCUGCUAAAUCAGUCCUUGGUGUUCAGUUUAAUGAUACAUGUCACAGCUGGACUGCUCUCACAUCCAAAAGGUGUUCUAAGAAAGCAGCUUAGCCAUAAGAACUCUGAUUUUUCAUGCCAUGGCAUCAUUGCUGAAUAAUACCUUUUCCUUCACAGGCAUAACCUUUGAAGCAGAUGAAUCAAUGCAAGACAUUUCCAUAUGUGUAGAUGUCUUGAAUAAACCAUCUUUAAGAUCAUUUUCUUUUGAGUAUCAACUUAACAGUAAAGCCAAGCGGGGGGACAACCCUCAAUCGCAUUUGUGGGGGCACACUAAUAGCUUCUGCUGAUCUGAGAUUAUAUGGGGCACUCAGAAUAAAUGAAAACAUCAAAAACUUUAGUUGGGCUUAAUGAAAUAAAAAAAGCAAUUCAGGUUACUUAUAAUUUUAGUUUGUUUCACAUAUACAAUGCUGUGUUACUAAGUAAUGAACACUUUCAUAAAAAAAUUUAUUUCAUACUUUUGUACAAAUAUCCACAGGUUUUUCUAAUCAUGAAAUAAUUUUACAAUGCUAGUUAAUAUAAAAUGUAUCAAAUGAGAAUAGACCAGUGACUUGACUUGAGAUGACAUUUUUCACAACUAUAAACAUAAAGACCACCACAUUCUUGUUUCUUUGUUGUUGAGCCACCCUUGCACCCACCUCCUCACCCCUUCCCAAGGACAUUCGUCUUUAUAACAAGGGCCUAUACACACGUUCAAAAUAUCAGCUUCUUAGCAACCUAUGAAGUACAUUGGGUUCCAAGUUACCUAAGCAAGAAACUGAGAUUUUAAACACUGUUAUGACCUGUUCUCAAGAAAUUUUUGUAAACAAAAUAUCAUUUGGAAAACAGUAUUUGUGAAUGAAAUUUCUAAAGUACAACUAGAGUAAUGUUCUUAGUAUCUUAAGGGUAUAAGAUUUCCAAAAAGGAAAGAAAAUUAAAACUCCAAAGCAACAAUGGUACAUAGCUGUAUUUUGUUAAAAGAAUGAGACACAGCUUACAUUACAUCCAAACAAAUUAGCACCUGGUUUGCUCUGGCUCCCCAUAUAACUUAACAUCUUGAAGCACAGUCAUUUUUUAAAAUCUGGCUUUCAUAUCUAUUCAAUCUCUAUUGAAUGUAUAGAAGAAUAAUGUCUUCCUCCCCUCCUCCACUUUUACACUUAAAAAACAAGUUAAAGUCCUUGUUAGAGUAGUCCUAAAAUAAUUUGGGGAAUAUACAUAGGGGAGGAAACACAGCAAAAAAAUAGAACUCUGACUCACAUGACAUGAUUCCAAUAAUAUUUAAAACGUAAAAGCCAUGAUGUUCUAAUCUGACUUUUGGUAUCGGGUAUUCAGUAGUCUUCCACUGGAUCGGAUUGGAUCCACCAUAGGCACUCACCAUUUCUUUCAAGUCCUGUAUAUACAGCAGUGAAAGGUCAAGAAAUAAACCCCCUUUUUUUCCAAGAGUUCCUGAAAGUUAUAGCAUAAAAUUCAGAAUUGUCACACAGGGCUCCAAACUCAAAAAUAUCCAUUGUCUGUUCAAAAUUAAACUUCUAACGGUUAAUCCUAUUUCUUAAACAAACCUUUUGGGUUUGGAGGGAGGGGGUCAAGGUAAGGGAUGUCAUGAAGGAAGAUGUUUCAAUAACUUAUCUGUAAAUUAUAACAACUCUCUGGUACAUUUAUAAAGCAUUAUUUUCUUUUUGCAGUAAAUACUUUAGAUCAAACCAAUGACCUCCCAUGUUCUAAUUCUGAUUGCUUACUCCAACCUGCAGGACAAACUGGAGAAUCUUUGGCCCGUUAGUCAAUAACAAAAUGGUUUGUAAAAAAG